GACGAACGCUGGCGGCGUGCUUAACACAUGCAAGUCGAACGGACUCCAUCCAGUAGCAAUACUGGGGAAGAGUUAGUGGCGAACGGGUGAGUAACACGUGAGAAACCUAUCCUGGUCUCUGGGAUAACAGUCGGAAACAACUGCUAAUACCGGAUGCCGUCGGAGCGUCGCAUGGCGCGCUGACGAAAGGGUUACUGGAUCAGGAGGGUCUCGCGGCCUAUCAGCUAGUUGGUGGGGUAACGGCCUACCAAGGCAUCGACGGGUAGCUGGUCUGAGAGGAUGAUCAGCCACACUGGGACUGAGACACGGCCCAGACUCCUACGGGAGGCUG
RNAcentral lists this ribosomal RNA (331 nucleotides) under uncultured Actinomycetes bacterium. Its description in RNAcentral is "bacterial SSU rRNA". It matches the Rfam family "Bacterial small subunit ribosomal RNA", at positions 28 to 351 of the family's 1533-position model. Lineage: Bacteria; Bacillati; Actinomycetota; Actinomycetes. The record is from RNAcentral.